Molecule: small nucleolar RNA, 106 nt
Organism: Gossypium arboreum
Lineage: Eukaryota; Viridiplantae; Streptophyta; Magnoliopsida; Malvales; Malvaceae
Rfam family: Plant small nucleolar RNA R71
About the family: R71 is a member of the C/D box family of snoRNAs containing the C (UGAUGA) and D (CUGA) box motifs. Multiple nearly identical copies of this snoRNA have been identified in Arabidopsis, and it is thought to function as a 2'-O-ribose methylation guide for 18S ribosomal RNA.
Source: Rfam
AUCCCGUGGUGAGGGCAUUUGUGUAAUAGUUUCUUAAAUCACUCCCACGCCUCGUAGAUGGAUUCAUUGUCCAUCUGUUGGAAAGUGGUAAUCUCAUUCCUCGGCU